GGAAUAUAAGAAUCCGCCUCUUAACUUUUAACUAAAAAAGCUAAGAACCGACUCUUAAAUAAGAGUUUUAAGAGCCGGUUCUUAAUUUUUUUAGUUAAAAGUUAAGAGACGAAUUAUUAUAUUCC
Non-coding RNA from Brassica napus (rape), 125 nucleotides. NCBI's taxonomy places the organism in Eukaryota, Viridiplantae, Streptophyta, Magnoliopsida, Brassicales, Brassicaceae. The record is from Rfam.